UACGAAGGGGGCUAGCGUUGCUCGGAAUCACUGGGCGUAAAGCGCACGUAGGCGGAUUUUUAAGUCAGGGGUGAAAUCCCGAGGCUCAACCUCGGAACUGCCUUUGAUACUGAGAGUCUCGAGUCCGGGAGAGGUGAGUGGAACUCCGAGUGUAGAGGUGAAAUUCGUAGAUAUUCGGAAGAACACCAGUGGCGAAGGCGGCUCACUGGCCCGGUACUGACGCUGAGGUGCGAAAGCGUGGGGAGCAAACAGG
This 253-nucleotide ribosomal RNA is filed under the name uncultured bacterium. RNAcentral describes it as "partial 16S ribosomal RNA". It matches the Rfam family "Bacterial small subunit ribosomal RNA", at positions 524 to 776 of the family's 1533-position model. The record is from RNAcentral.